RNAcentral lists this ribosomal RNA (305 nucleotides) under uncultured bacterium. Its description in RNAcentral is "bacterial SSU rRNA". It matches the Rfam family "Bacterial small subunit ribosomal RNA", at positions 335 to 633 of the family's 1533-position model. The record is from RNAcentral.
UUGCCUACGGGGGGCAGCAGUGGGGAAUAUUGCACAAUGGGGGAAACCCUGAUGCAGCGACGCCGCGUGAACGAGGAAGGUCUUCGGAUCGUAAAGUUCUGUUGAAGGGGAAAAAGAGCGGAGAGAGGAAAUGGUCUCCGAUUGAUAUUACCCUUCGAGGAAGUCACGGCUAACUACGUGCCAGCAGCCGCGGUAAUACGUAGGUGGCGAGCGUUAUCCGGAAUGAUUGGGCGUAAAGGGUGCGUAGGCGGCCUGCUAAGUCUGGAGUGAAAGGUACCGGCUCAACCGGUACAGGCUCUGGAAAC